This is a non-coding RNA of Arachis ipaensis, 688 nucleotides long. Lineage: Eukaryota; Viridiplantae; Streptophyta; Magnoliopsida; Fabales; Fabaceae. The record is from RefSeq and is a predicted model, not a curated record.
ACACAGACACACACAAAUAUGCAUAUAUAUAUUUAUAAAUAGUGGCUAAUAAUAAUUGAGUUUUUAGUGCUAUUUUAUUAUCUUUUAAUUUUGGACUUGCUAAAUACAUUGGUUGCUUAGAUGAAGAUAGUAUUGAUGACACUUUCAAUAAUGUAUUGACAACUCCUCUUGAUCUCAAGGAUCAUGUGAUGUUUGCAACAAGUAAAAUGGAAGACAUCAAGCUGCAGACCCUCAAGUGUAUAGUGAAUCCACAGAUGCUGAAAUUGCUGGUUUAUUGUUGGUGACUUCGAUGGCUCGGAUACUGGACGUGAUAUCAUUGUUCAAUCUAGGAACGGAGCGCUACAACGUAUUCAUGAGACACGUACUUGUUACUGGCGGAUGCAAUAUCCUUUGUUGAAUAAUAAUUGGGAGUACUAGAGAAACUAAUUUGUUGAUGGACAUAUGGGUACAAGGAAGAAUAAUCUGGCUGAUUCAGUUGCUGAUUUUGGAUUGUGAGGCAAUGCUUUGAUAACUUUUGCCUGGUGAUGAUGAUGAUGAUCAACAUUAUUUGAUGCCAAAAAUGUUGGUGCCACAGGGAACAAAGGAAGUACAUCACCUUUCAUUUUCUUGCAAGGACUACUACUCCUACUACUUGUUGUGCUUCUAUCUUUAUCUUUUCUAACAUUGUUGGUAGUUCUUGGCAUUAUUU